GGGUUGUGAGGUUAAGCGACUAAGCGUACACGGUGGAUGCCCUGGCAGUCAGAGGCGAUGAAGGACGUGCUAAUCUGCGAAAAGCGUCGGUAAGGUGAUAUGAACCGUUAUAACCGGCGAUGUCCGAAUGGGGAAACCCAGUGUGAUUCGUUGCACUAUCGUUAACUGAAUACAUAGGUUAACGAGGCGAACCG
RNAcentral lists this ribosomal RNA (194 nucleotides) under Klebsiella pneumoniae. RNAcentral's name for it is "partial 23S ribosomal RNA". It matches the Rfam family "Bacterial large subunit ribosomal RNA", at positions 1 to 186 of the family's 2925-position model. Lineage: Bacteria; Pseudomonadati; Pseudomonadota; Gammaproteobacteria; Enterobacterales; Enterobacteriaceae. The record is from RNAcentral.